GCGCGGGGGCGGGGCCUAGGACGGGAACUGCAGGGCCCUCGCCCGCCUCCCUCUUUCCUGCCCGCUCUCUUGGUGCGGCCACAGCGCUUCGCCCUGCCCCUGCGGUGUGUGACCUCCGGCCUGCGGGCGGUGGUCGGCAGAGUGGCUAGCCAGUCACUCCUUCGUUUCUCACUCACCCGGCCUGGCCUCGUCCCCGCCGCUCUCGUUCUUCCCUGGCCAGCCGGGAGCCUUGUACGGCGCUAGCCGGAGCGGCGGGGGAGUCGCGCCCGGGGCCCCGCGUGGCCGCGGCUCGGCGGUGACCCCUUGCCAGACUCGCUACCAUUGUUUUCUCACUGGUUCCGUGCUCAGGGUAUUUUGACCUACCAGGGACUUUCACAUAGAUGGAGACUUGAGCCUGAAAAUCCGACUAAAUCCUACCGGGCUCGCUUAGCCUGUGCAGGCUGGCUGUUGGAUUGCUGGUAUUUGGGGAAAGAAUAAAAGGUCGCUCCCCGCCACCACUCAAUGUAGACAACGUGGUAAACUUCAAAUACCUGAUUAAGAGCGCUUGCAAUUCUAACAAGGAGAACAUAUACUGGUGGUUAGAAAUGGCGUUAUAAAUAUCUGCAUUCGUUGCCCUUGUACCUGCAACGUGUUGUUUUCCCAAUUAUAUCUAAUUAGGUUAUGGAUGUACUGCAUUUGUGGCCUUAAAAAAAAAUCACUAUGUGGUCCACACUGUCCUAGAACUCCUGACCCUUUCACCCACCCUCAGGAACUACACAGUGCCUAGAGAAUAUUAGUUGAAUAUGAGGAUAGUCUACUUGAACUAUGAUAGCCUUGUCACAAUGUUGUUUAAAAUAGCCGGAAAGACAUGAGACUGCUGCUUACUGCAAGUGCAGCACAGAUGGCUGCAUUUGGAGUGUACUCAUCCUUGCUUCAUUUCACUUUUUAUGCUCACAUGCCUUUAUUAAAAUGUGUUUUAAAUUUUGUUACUAUUCCUGAUGGUAAUCUGUAAACUCACUUUUUUUUAAAGUGCUGAAAAAAAAAAAAGAUACUGAGCAGAGUGUGUCUAAAGAGACUGAGGUUUAGAACAGACACAGCAAGAAGCUAUAACAUAAUUACUAAUGACGGCCACAUUUAUUAUGUAUCAACCUGCCUUUUGGGUUAAGAGUCUUGGAGGAUCUAGUUAUGGAAAAUGCAAAGAGCUGUUUGUCUAGCUAUAAAUGACAAUGGUCACUGGAAAUAGACCAUGAAAUCUGCAGGGGUGGGGUAGGGUCUGAAGACUUGUUUUGUGAAGUAGGAUUGGUUUGUUGCUUUUCCUCCCCUGGCCUGGGGAAAAUACUUAAUGAAAGCUAGUAUUCUUUGAGUUUUUAUUAAUAUCUCAAGAACUUGAUAAAAAAAAAAACAAAAAAAAACCCUAUAGGUGGAGUUCUCUUUCUCAGGACAGCGCUUUGUUAACCUGGGGGAUUGCUAGGUGUUUCGUGAUAGCCCUGCCUUCUACCUGGCCGGGGCCAAUAGCACCCCAUUUUCAUUUGAGGCAACUAAAAGUCUUUGAGGAUGCUUACAGAUGUUCCCCGGGGAAUCAGAGUCUACAGCAGUAAACUCAAAAAUGUUCCCUUUGCUGCUGCCUCUUUAACCGCCCACUUUCUAAUUGAGAUUUUUUUGUUUUGUUUUUGUUUUUAAGACUACCACUCAGAUCUCUUGUCUCUAUGCUUUUUAUCCUUGAAGGAGUCUGGCUCACUCCCUUGCUGAAGCACUGUUGCCUAGAGAAUAUGGUGUAAUGGUAAUUGUGUGUGGUGAUUAGGGCAUUUGAAAUAGAAAGGAGAAAGGAUGAAACUGGAGUGGGUAGGCUGGAGCAUGUGUGUGGGACAGUUGGUAGAAGGCGGGUGCCUCUGCUUUGCCACCAGCUGGUGUCUUUCUUGCUUUGGUUACAGGAAAGUGACAGCAAACUACAUGCGAACUCUUAGGUUUCUGUACAUAUUCCUGCAUUUAAUUUUGAAUGCUACAAGUACUGAUAAUAUUUUUCCUUUUUCUGCUUAUAGAUGGUCACUUCAAGAUAUUUUGUAAUAAGAACUUGCUGAUUUUUCUAUCCAAAAAUCCACCUCAUGAAAUGAAAAUGCUUCUCUGGAGAUGAAAGAUUAAAGAAUUAUUGGUCUGUUUGGAUGCGUGUUGGGGUUCCUGGGAUGAGUGAAUUGCCAUGAAGGCACAGAGGAAUGUCUGCUGACUGAUUCCCAGAGAGACCAUGGAGGAGUGGUGUGGAAGCGCUCCAAGGCUCCAGCCCUUGAACUUGACAUGACUUAUCAGAGAUUUUGGUGGUGGUGGUGGUAAUGAAUUUUACAUAUAACAGACAGCAAAAAUCACCCAUCUUUAUAAAAAUUUGAAAAGGAAGACCCCGUUAUUACCUAUAUAUAAAGUAAAAAUUAUAUUCUGUGGGUGUAGAUCACGUAGUUGAAGAAAGAACAGGAGAAUAUGAAUUAAGGGAAACUACUUGUUGAAAUUUCUGUGACUUUAUUAGUAAUGUUUUUUUCCUGUAUUUUAGACGUUUUAGAGGGCUUACAGCCCUGGAGAGAGACUGCCCCUUUCCAGGAUGUACUAAUUCUCAUAAUACAGUUUGCCUAGGAAUACACCUUACAUAUGCAAACAAGCCCAUUCUAAGUCUGUGUCCUCAAAACACUUCUGUUUCUGCUGCUUCAGAUGGUCAGUUUCCUUUCUGCCUGACCGUCCCAGGCCUACUACCAGGCACUAUGAUAACCAUACAGAGAGGGCCUAGCUCAACAGCACAAAGCCCUGCUGAAGUUAUGCAAGUUAUCUAACUCUGUCUUGCCUUCUGGAAAGCUCCAAUAAAGGAUUUGGCCUCAGCCCUUUCUUCUCCCCUCUUUUUACCUCUGACUAAACCCUGGUGCUCCUCACACAGCCCGGAGAUGUUUUGUUGGCCUCCUCUCAAGCAGUAUGGUUAAUAAAUUCUCUUCUGGUGA
This is a long non-coding RNA of Arvicanthis niloticus (Nile rat), 2951 nucleotides long. RefSeq lists it as uncharacterized. NCBI's taxonomy places the organism in Eukaryota, Metazoa, Chordata, Mammalia, Rodentia, Muridae. The record is from RefSeq and is a predicted model, not a curated record.